This 28-nucleotide non-coding RNA is filed under the name Bombyx mori (domestic silkworm). Lineage: Eukaryota; Metazoa; Arthropoda; Insecta; Lepidoptera; Bombycidae. The record is from RNAcentral.
UGAUCGUAGAACCUUGUCGAAUGCACUG